GGCAACGCGAAAAACCUGCUAAAACUUGGUUUUGGACCAAGACGUCGCAGGUUCAAAUCCUGUCGCUCCGGCCA
Molecule: transfer RNA, 74 nt
Filed under: Verrucomicrobiota bacterium
Lineage: Bacteria; Pseudomonadati; Verrucomicrobiota
Description: Verrucomicrobia bacterium tRNA-Leu
Source: RNAcentral